This 476-nucleotide ribosomal RNA is filed under the name uncultured bacterium. RNAcentral describes it as "bacterial SSU rRNA". It matches the Rfam family "Bacterial small subunit ribosomal RNA", at positions 8 to 469 of the family's 1533-position model. The record is from RNAcentral.
AGAGUUUGAUCCUGGCUCAGGAUGAACGCUAGCGACAGGCCUAACACAUGCAAGUCGAGGGGCAUCGGGGCGAGGAGCAAUCCUUGCCGCCGGCGACCGGCGCACGGGUGAGUAACGCGUAUGCGACCUGCCCGUUGCAGGGGGAUAAUCGGGAGAAAUCCCGUCUAAUACCGCGUAAUGCCGCGGGGCUGCAUGGCCCUGCGGCCAAAGGAAGCGAUUCCGGCAACGGAUGGGCAUGCGUGACAUUAGCUAGUUGGCGGGGCAACGGCCCACCAAGGCGACGAUGUCUAGGGGUUCUGAGAGGAAGGUCCCCCACACUGGUACUGAGACACGGACCAGACUCCUACGGGAGGCAGCAGUGAGGAAUAUUGGUCAAUGGGCGCGAGCCUGAACCAGCCAAGUCGCGUGAGGGAUGACGGCCCUACGGGUUGUAAACCUCUUUUGUCGGGGAGCAAAUUCCGCCACGCGUGGCGGGG